GGAAAUGUGAUCACAGAAGCCAGGUCAGAGUGAUGUGCCUGUUGGCUUCAAAGACGGAGGAAAGGGGCCAUGAGCCAAAGGAUGUGAGCAGCCUCUAGAAGCUGGACAAGGCAAAGAUUCUCUGCCAGAGACUCUGAAAGGAACAGAGCUCCGCCGACAUCUGCGUUAGCCCAGUGAGACUCUUUUUGGACAUCUGGACUAGAGAAUGCAUUCCAUUGGCACGGCGUUUAGAACCUGAGUCUCUGCAAACAUGAUUAAAGGAAAGGAGUUACUAGUUUUUCCUCUCUUCUGGCUGUUAUCUGGGAAGCUCUGAACUCAGAGGAGUUGCCGAGUGGGGGUGUCCUGCAUGAAAGAAGAUGGGAAGGAAAGAACUCCCCAUUUCACCUUCCUAAGCAGUGGAGGAAGGGGAUCAGAAACAGCAAGUGCUGAUGAAAACUCCACUUCCAAAUACAUUCCAUGGCUUAUUUGUGGAGGGAAAUGCUUUUUACCUUUUGAACUUUCAGAUACCUGGCAAAAGCAAAUGGGUCCUCAGGGGGACAGAGAGGUGUAAAUGGAAGCUCCUGUAAACGACUGUUGGCUUUCCCCCCAGGUUCUCUGGAUCCAGGAUUUCCAGGGAAUGUGUGAAAGGAUCUGGCCCUGCUCUUCGGGACAUCUGCUCAAAUUCCAGGCAGAAUGGACAGAGAGGCUCCUUUCCCGAAAGGUGACGUGGCAGCACUUUUUUUAAAAGACACCAAUCCUUGAUGGACACAGAGCUGCAUCCUCCGCUCAACCAGCAUUACAGUGCUCUCCCCUCAGAGGAAGGCUCCACCAGUUCGAAAUCACAUUGCGAUUCAUCCUGCUUCAAGGCUCGGUUGUGCAUCUGCCAUUGUUGUCAAAGGAACGUGACUUCCUCCUUGUAUUCCCAUUAGAGGAAUAAUGGAAGGCGUUCGGCUUCUUGGCCAUUUGCACUCCAGCUUUUCACAAGCUCUUAAGGGAAAUGAGAGCAAAUGAUGGAUGACAUAUUAAAGGAGACGGAUGAUGAGUCAAUGAGAACGUCAGCUAGGUUUUCAUACUCUACAGGGCAUGGUAAAUGCGGUGUUUGGUUUGCAUUUUUUUUAAAAGCACAUCCAUCUGGUGAGGUUCAGAAAUUGAUGCAUGAACCUCUAGGCACCAUGCUGAUGUUUUUGAGGUCAGGCUGAUGAAAUUGAAUGGGACUUCAGAUUUAGUGUUAAGAGCCAUGAGGGCCAAACUUACACUCUUUAAAUCUGUCACGUUUAGCAACUAUCAGCAGAAAAAUGAACUUUCAGUUGUCUCAUUGAGACAAUUAACUUGUUUUCACUGCCCCAGAAUACCUUCCUCCCUCCAAGCAGCCAAACAGUAUCUACUCUGCAGCCUUCUCUGCAAAACACGGCAGCCCAGAGCAAUCUUCCCUCUUCCACACGUCUAUUGUUUGAUUUCCACAGUACUAGAAAUUAACCUUCAAGCCUUGUUUUGAUUCUUAUAUUAUUUAGAUUGCUUGACACUUUUAACCAUUUAACUCUUUGUAUAUUCAUGUUUCGUCUCCUCCACCAAAUUGUGAGUUCUUCAAGGGACCUAACAAAAUCUACCCUACUAGUUCAAUAACUUAGUGUUAUCUGACAUUCAUGUGUUUUGUAUUUAUAUGUUUGUUUGUUUAUAAUCUUCCUCAGUGGAAUUUAAGCUUUAAGAAGGCAUUGACUUUGUCUUCCAUCUCUGUAUUUUCAGAAGCAUCAAGAACAGUGCUUGGCAUUAAUUAUAAUAGCCAAGAUAUGGAAACAUCCUAAAGAUCCAUACGACCGUCCACAGAGUGAAUAAAGAAGAUGUGGUAUGUGUAUACUGAAAUGCUACUCGGCUAUAAAAAAGAAUGGAGUGAUGCCAUUUCCAGCAACAUGGAUGAACCUAGGGAUUUUGUCAUAUUAAGUGAAGUCAGAAAGGUAAAUAUCAUAUGAUAGCAUUUGUAUGUGGAAUCUAAAAAAAGGAUAUAAAUGAACUUAUUUACAAAACAGAAACGGAUUCGCAGACAUAAAAAACAAACUUAUGGUUACCAAAGGGGGCCGGGGGGAGGGAUAAAUCAGGAGUUUGGGGGAUUAUCAGAUACACACUACUACAUAUAAAAUAGACCACAAAGUCUUCCUGCAGAGCACAGGGAACUAUAUUCAAUAUCCUAUAAUAACCAUAAUGAAAAAGAAAAAA
Molecule: long non-coding RNA, 2190 nt
Filed under: Sus scrofa (pig)
Lineage: Eukaryota; Metazoa; Chordata; Mammalia; Artiodactyla; Suidae
Description: lncRNA (ENSSSCG00050071802.1)
Source: RNAcentral